GAGCUGAUGGAUCUGAGGAACCUUAAUGGAGCUGAUGGAUCUGAGGAACCUUAAUGGAGCUGAAGGAUCUGAGGAACCUUAAUGGAGCUGAAGGAUCUGAGGAACCUUAAUGGAGCUGAAGGAUCUGAGGAACCUUAAUGGAGCUGAAGGAUCUGAUUAACCUUAAUGGAGCUGAAGGAUCUGAGGAACCUUAAUGGAGCUGAAGGAUCUGAGGAACCUUAAUGGAGCUGAAGGAUCUGAGGAACCUUAAUGGAGCUGAAGGAUCUGAGGAACCUUAAUGGAGCUGAAGGAUCUGAGGAACCUUAAUGGAGCUGAAGGAUCUGAGGAACCUUAAUGGAGCUGAAGGAUCUGAGGAACCUUAAUGUAGCUGAUGGAUCUGAGGAACCUUAAUGGAGUUGAUGGAUCUGAGGAACCUUAAUGGAGUUGAUGGAUCUGAGGAACCUUAAUGGAGUUGAUGGAUCUGAGGAACCUUAAUGGAGCUGAAGGAUCUCUGUGUCUCUAUAGGAACCUUCAGUGUUUGUUCUGGACAGAUGGUGGAGCCAGAAGAUCAUUGAAACAAACAUCCAGAACUCCUGCUUCAGCUCCUAUUUAGCUGAUUUAACAGAAUCGGGACCAUGAAUCCAUCUGACCACCAGGUGUCCUCACACCUCAAUCACACCUGGAGUCCUCCUGCUCACCUGCAGCUUGUCGUCCAAUCAGCUCUCAGCAGGACUUCCUGUUUUGUUUGAGGUAGAUUGGUGUUUUUGCCUCUUUGUCCUGUAAAUUUUUAUUACAUGAACUAGAAAAUGCGAAUACAGGUGUAAACAUGAGUCAUGUGACGUCUGCAGUGUUUCAGGGACUGCAGAUGUUAUUAAGAGAGUCAGUGCUGCCCCCAGGUGGUCGGUCCCGGUAUGAAGAGGAUCCCAGCUGAUAAAAUAAAAACCUGCUGCUGCUGUGAGGAGAUGAAAUCUGCUCAUCUGUAAAAGUGAGUUUCUGCUCAGAGACUGAAAACAUCCUGUAGCAUAUUUAACAAGCAUGACGCCCCCUGGUGGCUGCUGUUGGUGGUGAACUACAAGUAAACGAAACAUCUUUGGACAAAACGAGGCAUUUGAGGACGUCAUCUUUGACCUUUUCUGGCAUUUCAUAACCAAACAACGGAUCCAUUAUUCCCGAAAAUAAACAACAGUGGAAAUAAGGGUUAGCUGCAGCUCUGUUUGCGUGAAAGACACAUUUUAGAGUUUUAUUUUAACAUCUUUUAAUAAUUUUUUAAGAUAAACAGAUUUUAUUUGUAAAAUCCUGAUCUGGAAAGUUGCUGUCAGACACUAAAGGUACUGUGAAGUAGCAUAAAUCUGGGAAGUACAAAUACUGCAAAAGUACUUAACUAAAGUUGUUGAGUAAAUGUAAUUAGUUACUUUCCACUGCUGGUUGGUUUCUGUGUUUCCUUAUAGUUGUGAAGCUUUUAUUUUUUACAGGAUUGGUUUAAAGGAGGAUUCAUUUAUCAGUCUGUUUAUCUAUCUAUAUCUAUCUCCGUGUAUUUCUUCUUCUAUUAAUCUCUAAUCAAAUCUAAAUUUAUGUAUCUUUAUUACAUGUGUUUUAAAUUAACAGUCUGUUUAUCUUUCUGUCUCUGUGUAUUUCUAUUAUCUCCAUCUAUUUCUUUCUUCUUUAUCUCUUUUUAUGUAUGCAUCUCUAUUAUCUUUCUAUUUCUGUCCAUUUCUAUCUCCACCUCCUUCAGUUUCUAUACUUGUCUUUAUUUCACUAUAAAUGUCUA
Molecule: long non-coding RNA, 1747 nt
Organism: Amphiprion ocellaris (clown anemonefish)
Lineage: Eukaryota; Metazoa; Chordata; Actinopteri; Pomacentridae
Exons: 3
Source: RefSeq, a predicted model, not a curated record